UGCAUGGUUGUCGUCAGCUCGUGCCGUGAGGUGUCGGGUUAAGUCCCAUAACGAGCGCAACCCCUAUCGUUAGUUGCCAGCAAGUAAAUUGGGGGACUCUAGCGAGACUGCCGGUGUAAACCGUGAGGAAGGUGGGGAUGACGUCAAAUCAGCACGGCCCUUAUAUCCAGGGCUACACACGUGUUACAAUGGUCGGUACAAAGAGCAGCCACUUGGUGACAAGGCGCUAAUCUCAAAAGCCGAUCUCAGUUCGGAUCGAAGUCUGCAACUCGACUUCGUGAAGUUGGAUUCGCUAGUAAUCGCGCAUCAGCCAUGGCGCGGUGAAUACGUUCCCGGGCCUU
This 341-nucleotide ribosomal RNA is filed under the name uncultured Marinilabiliaceae bacterium. RNAcentral describes it as "bacterial SSU rRNA". It matches the Rfam family "Bacterial small subunit ribosomal RNA", at positions 1042 to 1382 of the family's 1533-position model. Lineage: Bacteria; Pseudomonadati; Bacteroidota; Bacteroidia; Marinilabiliales; Marinilabiliaceae. The record is from RNAcentral.